Molecule: small nucleolar RNA, 106 nt
Organism: Malania oleifera
Lineage: Eukaryota; Viridiplantae; Streptophyta; Magnoliopsida; Santalales; Ximeniaceae
Source: RefSeq, a predicted model, not a curated record
ACCUAAUGAUGUGGGCAUUUAUGAAGUAGGUCCUUGAAACGCUUCCAGGCCUUAAAGAAAAGUUUCCCAUUCGUUUGCGUGAAACUUGCGAUUACCUUUCGCAGCU